CCUACGGGUGGCAGCAGUAGGGAAUCUUCCACAAUGGGCGAAAGCCUGAUGGAGCAACGCCGCGUGGGUGAAGAAGGUCUUCGGAUCGUAAAACCCUGUUGUUAGAGAAGAAAGUGCGUGAGAGUAACUGUUCACGUUUCGACGGCAUCUAACCAGAAAGCGACGGCUAACUACGUGCCAGCAGCCGCGGUAAUACGGAGGUGGCAAGCGUUAUCCGGAUUGAUUGGGCGUAAAGGGAGCGAAGGCGGGCUUUUAAGCCUGAUGUGAAAGCCUUCGGCUUAACCAGAGUAGUGCAUUGGAAACUGGGAGACUUGAGUGCGGGAGAGGAAAGUGGAACUCCAGGUGUAGCGGUGAAAUGCGUAGAUAUAAGGAAGAACACCAAUGGCGAAAGCGGCUCUCUGGUCUGUAACUGACGCUGAGGUUCGAAAGCGUGGGUAGCAAACAGGAUUAGAUACCCCAGUAGUC
This 465-nucleotide ribosomal RNA is filed under the name uncultured bacterium. RNAcentral describes it as "partial 16S ribosomal RNA". It matches the Rfam family "Bacterial small subunit ribosomal RNA", at positions 338 to 795 of the family's 1533-position model. The record is from RNAcentral.